AGAUAUAGAUAAACAAGUUCAUGAAUCUUUUGGAAAUUAUAAAGGUUGUGUUAAGGAACAACCGAAUGACUGAAUUUAUAGAAGUCAGAAUGCAAAUAAUCAAAACCAAUGUAUAUUUUUAAUAUAUAUAUUUUCAAACUGAGCUUGGCAAUGCCAGUAUAUUAUAAAAUUAUAUUUUUCAUUUAUGAUGAUGUAAUUAUUCUAACUUUGGUUCUGAGAUGAUAGAAUAUUAAUGAUUUUAAUUUUUAAUAUAAGAUCACUUUUCUAAAAUACUUUUAAUAACAUAGUGAAAAGUCAUGGUGUGAGGAUUCCGGUCUUACCUGGGUGGUGGUGUUGCUGGGAGCCGCCAUUUUGAAGUUUUGUUUAGUACUGCAGUUAAUUUAAUUUUUGUUUAUAAUAUUUGAAUUUCUAAUUUAUUUUGUUUGAAUUGUAAAAUAUUGUUUCAAUUAAUACUGGACAUUGGAUUUCGUUACAAUGAAAUUUUUGUAUGUUAUUGUUCUAUUCACUGUAUUAAUAUGCUAAUGAGGUUAAGGUUAAGAAGGAGUUCGGAAGACCGUGGUGAUGUCUCGCCCAACAGAUGUUAUGGAGAAGUAGUGAUUGCUGGCUGGAAGCCUCUUUGUGUUAUUUUGUGGUUGGUUUUAAUGGUGGAAAUGACUUGGAACAUUUCUCAAGCGUUGCAGAUAUGUCUCAUCAGGUGAAAGUGGUCUACUGUGUUUUUAAUGUGAAAAACUUUUGUUUAUUAUAUUUCUCUGUGAGAAUAGGCGAGAUUUUGUUUAUAAGUAAGUUUAUCAUUGUAUUAAUUUUUUCUUGGUGAAAUAAACAUAGAUAUGGAGCAAUGUUUAGAUGCAGUUAUGCGAUGAUUGGACACAAACUAACUAACUAUAAAUGUUAAGAUAAGUGCCAAUCAAAAAAAGGAAACACAGGGUCAGACCGAAAGU
Molecule: long non-coding RNA, 938 nt
Filed under: Androctonus crassicauda
Lineage: Eukaryota; Metazoa; Arthropoda; Arachnida; Scorpiones; Buthidae
Source: RNAcentral